GACUAAUCCAAUAUGGCUGAGAUCCUUAUCAAAAGGAGAAAUUCAGUCACAGGGACAGACAGGUACAGAGAGAAGAUGAUGUCAAGAGACAACGGGAGAAUGCCACAUGAAGGUGGAGGAUUGGAGUAAUGCAUCUACAAGCCAAGAAAACCUUGUUGGGAGUUUGAUUAGACGGCUGAGAAAGACAGCAAAUCUACAGGGUUUGUCAAAGAUAAGAUCGUUGUCAUGGCAUGAAAAGGAUGACCUUUCCAGUCUGCAAUACCUGCUUGACCACUAAGACCAAACAGCUCAAAUUAAAGGUAACAAAUUCCGCAGAGGCAAUUGUUCAACACAGGAAAAAGAAACCACUUUAAGGAUUUUAAACUGGAAGAGAUUUUACAUAAGCUGUUUUAAACAAAACCAUUGGAUGACCUGGAGUAACAGUGUCGGAAACUCAGCUGAGCUGGAUAGAGAACUGAGCUGCCCGUUGUUGGAGAAGUUGAUUAAAGCAGCAGCCGAAGAUCGAAGUAACAGUCAAGACUGUAAUCACUUACUGCAAUAGUAUAAGCAAGAGGCCAAAACCAAAGAAACUGCCAACUCACCCAGGUCUUCUAAAUUCCCCAGAAAGGUGCACUAGUGGAGGGUCAGUGAAUCAGGACAGACAUGGGGGUCAGCUCACGAUUGAGGAAGCCCCAAACAAAAAUCUCCAGUAGUAUUAUGAACCCUGGAGCAGGAGGUUGGAGUGAGACAAGGAGAGCUAGGAGUAGAAGAGUAUGGAGUCGGAGGAGGGAACGGUUUCUUAAGGUCUCCUCCCACUCUACUCUUAAGAAAGCUUCAGUAGAAGCACCUGAAGAAAACUCCAGCAGGAAGCCCUCAGAUAAAGAAACUUCUGAAUGAAGACACCUAGGCUAGGAAUGCAAAUAUGUUUAAGAGCAUGGGCCAUUAGGGGAAUCUGAGUUCCAGAAUGCAAUUCUCUUUAAAGAUUGCAAUGCACUGGGUAUGCCCCAAGUCUGGGGAGGGCAACUUUCCUCGGAGGGGUUUGCCAGAUAAAGCCUUUGUCAUUGCCUGUGGUUGGGCCUGAAAUAUCAAACAUAGAUUUUUGGCCAGGACUCCUCAGCAGGAUCUAGUCAGGGCCUUCACAAAGUACAUUCAGAAUGACAAUUGACCCACCAGAAAGCCAUCAUGCCACCACUUGAUAUUUUAAAUGAAAAGACCCACCAACAUAUCUGAUAUCCAUAUCUGAUACCCAGUAGAAUUGGAAUGCUGCUAUCACCACUGUCACUAUUGUCACUACCACACCUGCCUCUAGAAACCCAGCAAUCUGGAGGAUGGACCCUGGAUAAUGUUGCAGGCAAACCUCAUUUCUCUACAACUGUGCUUUCCACCAACAGUCGAUUAAAGGAAGACGAAGAUCGAGUGUGUGUGGAUGAUACAGCAAAUAAACCUUCUUCUAGUUCUUAAAGAUUAUGGUUUUCAGUGUUUAGUGAGCAUCCGUGUUCAUCUUUAAAGGAUAGAAAAAUGCAGGAGGCAUCUUGUAUCCAUGAAGAUACUAAAACACGGAUUUCCUCAGGAAAUUGAUCACUCAAGCAUCCAUAAUCUUAGUAGACUGCCCUUAUAGUCGUAUUGCAGAAUGUGUGAUCUGCCAUCUACUGAGGGCUCAUUUUUCCCUCUCCUCUCUCAUCCAAGAUUGGUGAUAGUUUCAAAUUUUUCUCCCACUAUUAUGUAGAAUAAUUUCCAAACUUGACACUCAAUUGAAUCAUGGUGUCCAGGAAAAUAGAUAAAAUAAAUAUGACUUCAUAUACCAGAAGUCAUAUUCCUUUGAAUACAAUCAGGGCCAUAAAUGGCACUUGCUUCUAUAACACAAAGUGCUAUUAUAAUUAUAUACAUGAUUUUUUAAAUAAUUAAGUAACUUGGAACCAGUUUCUAUUGCAAUAAUUAUAAGAAACAAAGACCUCCAACUGAAUGAACCCCUCUGAAAUAUUUUAAUAAACUCUGAGGAGUACUAUUUGUCAAGCAAAGAAAUACUGAAUUAAGGUAAAUGCCAGCUUAGGAUGAAAAGAACAGCAACAGUGCCUACCUUCAUUACCUCAGCCUCUCCCUGGCUAAGAUAAUCACUUAAUCUUUUAUGCCUUUGCUAAAACCUCAUUAGUAAAAAGGAGACCUGCCUACUAAGCAUAAGGUUAAGGCUUUAAUGGACUUUAGAAAUCAUUUACUUUUAUGACUCAAAGCACUGAAGUGCAAAUUCUUUUUAUUUGAAUAUUUGAGGGCAUUAAAUGAGCAUUUUUAAUGGAUUUCAAUUGUCAGGAUAAAAUAAAAUUUCUCAAGGGGAAUCUGAAUUUUAACAAACAUUAAAAUCAAAGAAGUAAAAAGAUGAAUAAAUGGAGAAAAA
Homo sapiens (human) is the source of this 2368-nucleotide long non-coding RNA. NCBI's taxonomy places the organism in Eukaryota, Metazoa, Chordata, Mammalia, Primates, Hominidae. The record is from Ensembl.